CCCGGGGGGCUCGGGGGCCGCCGCGCCCCCCACCAGCCUCGUGCGGGGCGCCCCCGGACGCCCCCGGUUCCUGCCGGGCCUGUCGGAGCUCGCCGGGAGACUCAGCGCCGCCGGGUUCCUGUUUCCCACGGUGCCCCCCAGGAUGGGCACUGAGGGGGCCAACGCGUCCCUGGAGCCGGACGAGGCCGGGAGCGGCGCGGAGCCAGCCCUCUCCCCCGGCCGCCAGCCCUCCCGGGGGGCCGCGCCGCCCCCCGCCGCCGCCUCCGCCUGCACCCCCGGAUCCGCCUGCGGCUCGGGGGGCGCCGAGCCCGGCGGGGCCUCCCCCGCGCCCCC
Prinia subflava (tawny-flanked prinia) is the source of this 333-nucleotide long non-coding RNA. RefSeq lists it as uncharacterized. NCBI's taxonomy places the organism in Eukaryota, Metazoa, Chordata, Aves, Passeriformes, Cisticolidae. The record is from RefSeq and is a predicted model, not a curated record. The transcript has 3 exons.